RNAcentral lists this ribosomal RNA (493 nucleotides) under uncultured bacterium. RNAcentral describes it as "partial 16S ribosomal RNA". It matches the Rfam family "Bacterial small subunit ribosomal RNA", at positions 29 to 523 of the family's 1533-position model. The record is from RNAcentral.
AUUGAACGCUGGCGGCAUGCUUUACACAUGCAAGUCGAACGGUAACAGGUUAAGCCGACGAGUGGCGAACGGGUGAGUAAUGCAUCGGAACGUGCCCGAUCGUGGGGGAUAACGCAGCGAAAGCUGCGCUAAUACCGCAUACGAUCUGAGGAUGAAAGCGGGGGACCGUAAGGACUCGCGCGAUAGGAGCGGCCGAUGUCAGAUUAGGUAGUUGGUGGGGUAAAGGCUCACCAAGCCAACGAUCUGUAGCUGGUCUGAGAGGACGACCAGCCACACUGGGACUGAGACACGGCCCAGACUCCUACGGGAGGCAGCAGUGGGGAAUUUUGGACAAUGGGCGAAAGCCUGAUCCAGCAAUGCCGCGUGCAGGAAGAAGGCCUUCGGGUUGUAAACUGCUUUUGUACGGAGCGAAAAAGCUCUCUCUAAUACAGGGGGCUCAUGACGGUACCGUAAGAAUAAGCACCGGCUAACUACGUGCCAGCAGCCGCGGUAA